AGGGGUCAAUAUCUACUUAAUUUUAAUUAGGUUUGGGUUAAUGCGGGAUGCUGAUUAGUUAUUUUUGGGCUAAGAAAGAGUGAUGAAAUCUUCUUCUUAUUUUCUUAAUGGGUAUUUCUCUUAAGUUGAUUUGAGAUGAAUAUGCAUAACCAAUUUCAAAUAAGGGGUUCUAUGCAACUAAAUUAGAUGCAUAAAAUUAAUUAAACUUGAAAGCUUACCUUAUCUCCAGCGAUCACCAAAAGUAAAUCUAGGAUGAUGAUUGCUUCUAAACAAUUAAGUUUCUAUUCUUGUCAUGCAAUUUUUUAUUAGAU
RNAcentral lists this long non-coding RNA (311 nucleotides) under Elaeis guineensis (African oil palm). Its description in RNAcentral is "long non-coding RNA (EGUI_LNC040454)". The record is from RNAcentral. Lineage: Eukaryota; Viridiplantae; Streptophyta; Magnoliopsida; Arecales; Arecaceae.